GCCUACGUAGUGUAGUGCUAAGCACGGCAGACCGGAUAUCUGUAAGUGCGGGUGCGAGUCCCGCCUGAGGUU
RNAcentral lists this transfer RNA (72 nucleotides) under Dictyocaulus viviparus (bovine lungworm). It matches the Rfam family "tRNA". Rfam says of the family: Transfer RNA (tRNA) molecules are approximately 80 nucleotides in length. Their secondary structure includes four short double-helical elements and three loops (D, anti-codon, and T loops). Further hydrogen bonds mediate the characteristic L-shaped molecular structure. tRNAs have two regions of fundamental functional importance: the anti-codon, which is responsible for specific mRNA codon recognition, and the 3' end, to which the tRNAs corresponding amino acid is attached (by aminoacyl-tRNA synthetases). tRNAs cope with the degeneracy of the genetic code in two manners: having more than one tRNA (with a specific anti-codon) for a particular amino acid; and 'wobble' base-pairing, i.e. permitting non-standard base-pairing at the 3rd anti-codon position. Lineage: Eukaryota; Metazoa; Nematoda; Chromadorea; Rhabditida; Metastrongylidae. The record is from Rfam by way of RNAcentral.